Molecule: long non-coding RNA, 1307 nt
Filed under: Homo sapiens (human)
Lineage: Eukaryota; Metazoa; Chordata; Mammalia; Primates; Hominidae
Description: HSALNT0293126
Source: RNAcentral
CCCAGUUGGAGCUUCCUGGCUGCUUUGUUUACCUUAGCAAGCCUGGGCAAUGGCGGGCGCCCCUCCCCCAGCCUCGCUGCCGCCUUGCAGUUUGAUCUCAGACUGCUGUGCUAGCAAUCAGCAAGACUCCGUGGGCGUAGGACCCUCCAAGCCAGGUGCGAUAUAAUGUCGUGGUGCGCCGUUUUUUAAGCUGGUUGGAAAAGCGCAGUAUUCGCGUGGGAGUGACCCGAUUUUCCAGGUGCGUCCGUCACCCCUUUCUUUGACUAGGAAAGGGAACUCCCUGACCCCUUGCACUUCCCAAGUGAGGCAAUGCCUCGCCCUGCUUCGGCUCGCGCACGGUGCGCGCACCCACUGACCUGUGCCCACUGUCUGGCACUUCCUAGUGAGAUGAACCCGGUACCUCAGAUUGAAAUGCAGAAAUCACCCGUCUUCUGCGUCGCUCACGCUGGGAGCUGUAGACCGGAGCUGUUCCUAUUCGGCCAUCUUGGCUCCUCCCUCAGUUCUGGAGACUGGGACAUCCAAGGUCAAUGUGCUGGCAGAUUCAAUGUCUGGAUUGGCAAACACAAAUCAUGUUCCAAGUUCUGCCUUCCACCUGAGUGAAAUACAUCACCGCUUUCCCUGCUCCCGCCGCCAUUAAAAUUGUGUUUGGCAUCUGACCACCAAGAUACAGAUAUUUCCUAGACUGUUUUGCAGCUAGGUACUUAGAAAUAUCAACACUGUUUGCACUAUAAUUUACUUUUUGAGCCUCUGACAUUUACCCAGCUGACUGUCUUUGGAGAACAAUCUCUUGUCUGAGAAGCACUCUAGAAUGGAAGCCUCUUUGAAGAAAGUGUGGGAGGGGCAAAUCUAGACCACAGGUGAAGAAAAUGGGAUACAACAACCAGGAGAGGAUGAAAAUAUGAGAUGAAAAAUAUGAGUGGUUAUGAAAGAGACAGAAGACAGGGAAAUUCUGGGCAGAAGAGGGUGGGUCUGCAGCAAGGGCCCCACCCUCAGGCCUGGAACCUCGGCCCAAAGUGAGAACAUACAUUCCUAUUUUCCCAUUCAAAUGUUGCCUUUUCCAAAACCACCCAUGGCCUACCCUGAACCCCAAACCUGUGCCCAUAAAAACCCAGGCUCUGCUGCCAGAGGGAGGAGAAGAAGAGGAGCACAUGGACAUUAAAGACUACAAUUCGAUGUCGCAGAGAAGCAGCUUGACUUCACAGGGAUGGCUUAAUGGCAUAGCUUCAGAAAAUUACCUCACAGCUCUGUUCCCUUUCCAGCUUCCCUUCCCUCUCACUCUGAAAGCCACUUUAUUUGGCAAUAAAAGC